AUGAAUCGACGAACACCUAGAUCUUCCGCACUCGCCUCCAUCCUUUUCAUCUCCGACGCCAGAGCUCCACCGAAAACACCCUUCGAUGCGCUCUCCAACAGUCACUAUCACGAAGUUACUCCCACUGGCAAUUCUUUAUGGCAGAAGAAGGGAAGCUGUUUGAGCUGUUGUCACACGAAAGAGAUGAAGAAAAGGAAUUGCAAGACUGAGGGAGAAAAAUACCUCUCUGUUUUUCAUAUGUGGUUGGUCUUUUCUAUUUUUUUAAUUAAAUUGGGGUUUAUAUUAUGUUAA
Non-coding RNA from Vicia faba (fava bean), 291 nucleotides. Lineage: Eukaryota; Viridiplantae; Streptophyta; Magnoliopsida; Fabales; Fabaceae. The record is from the annotation of a GenBank genome assembly.